GACAGAGGCCUCAAGCGUUAGGCGGAAUCACUGGGCUUAAAGCGUGUGUAGGCGGAUCGUUAAGUGUCUUGUGAAAUCCCACGGCUCACCCGUGGAACGGCUGGGCAUACUGGCGAUCUUGGGCCAACUAGGGGCAACUGGAACAAGCGGUGGAGCGGUGAAAUGCGUAGAUAUCAAGUAGAACACCAGUGGCGAAGGCGAGUCCCUGGACAAUUCCUGACACUGAGGCACGAAAGCUAGGGGAGCAAACAGG
This 253-nucleotide ribosomal RNA is filed under the name uncultured bacterium. Its description in RNAcentral is "partial 16S ribosomal RNA". It matches the Rfam family "Bacterial small subunit ribosomal RNA", at positions 524 to 776 of the family's 1533-position model. The record is from RNAcentral.